GCUCGCUGCUUUUCUGUCUUGGCGGGGGGGGGGGGUCGCCUCACUUUGAUCAACUCAGUACUCGCCAGCAUCCCAAGUUAUAACAUGACUUGCUUUCCAUGGCCCAAGGAGUAUAUUGCAAAACUCGAAAGUUUGCUCCGUGCUUUCUUCUCGCAAGGCAAGAACUCUGUCAAGGGUGGUCAAUGUUUGGUUGCAUGGGAUUAUGUUCCUAUGCCUAGAGACGCCGGCGAGCUGGGAGUUCGGAACCUCGCAACACACAAUCAUGCGUUGUUAUGCAAGUUCACCGCCAGGGUUUUACGAAGCUCCGAUGUCCCCUGCUAUCAGUGGUUCGCCCAUCAAUACUGCUCUAUUCGCAUUCCACACGGCUCAGCCAACAAAGACACCGCUAUUUGGAAGGGCUUCAAGGAAUGCAUCUCCCUGGUUACAGCCUCGACGUUUUGCUCCCUCGAUGAAGGCAAGAUGAUCUCGUUCUGGCAUGUCAAGUGGCUAGGGGUUGGC
This 498-nucleotide ribosomal RNA is filed under the name Triticum aestivum (bread wheat). RNAcentral's name for it is "partial small subunit ribosomal RNA". Lineage: Eukaryota; Viridiplantae; Streptophyta; Magnoliopsida; Poales; Poaceae. The record is from RNAcentral.